This 468-nucleotide ribosomal RNA is filed under the name uncultured bacterium. RNAcentral's name for it is "partial 16S ribosomal RNA". It matches the Rfam family "Bacterial small subunit ribosomal RNA", at positions 28 to 507 of the family's 1533-position model. The record is from RNAcentral.
GACGAACGCUGGCGGCGUGCUUAACACAUGCAAGUCGAACGGAAAGGCCCUGCUUUUGUGGGGUGCUCGAGUGGCGAACGGGUGAGUAACACGUGAGUAACCUGCCCUUGACUUUGGGAUAACUUCAGGAAACUGGGGCUAAUACCGGAUAGGAGCUCCUGCUGCAUGGUGGGGGUUGGUAAGUUUCGGCGGUUGGGGAUGGACUCGCGGCUUAUCAGCUUGUUGGUGGGGUAGUGGCUUACCAAGGCUUUGACGGGUAGCCGGCCUGAGAGGGUGACCGGCCACAUUGGGACUGAGAUACGGCCCAGACUCCUACGGGAGGCAGCAGUGGGGAAUAUUGCACAAUGGGCGGAAGCCUGAUGCAGCAACGCCGCGUGCGGGAUGACGGCCUUCGGGUUGUAAACCACUUUCGCCUGUGACGAAGCGUGAGUGACGGUAAUGGGUAAAGAAGCACCGGCUAACUACGUG